GACGAACGCUGGCGGCGUGCCUAAUACAUGCAAGUUGAGCGCUGAAGGUUGGUACUUGUACCAACUGGAUGAGCAGCGAACGGGUGAGUAACGCGUGGGGAAUCUGCCUUUGAGCGGGGGACAACAUUUGGAAACGAAUGCUAAUACCGCAUAAAAACUUUAAACACAAGUUUUAAGUUUGAAAGAUGCAAUUGCAUCACUCAAAGAUGAUCCCGCGUUGUAUUAGCUAGUUGGUGAGGUAAAGGCUCACCAAGGCGAUGAUACAUAGCCGACCUGAGAGGGUGGUCGGCCACAUUGGGACUGCGACACGGCCCAAACUCCUACGGGAGGCAGCAGUAGGGAAUCUUCGGCAAUGGACGGAAGUCUGACCGAGCAACGCCGCGUGAGUGAAGAAGGUUUUCGGAUCGUAAAACUCUGUUGGUAGAGAAGAACGUUGGUGAGAGUGGAAAGCUCAUCAAGUGACGGUAACUACCCAGAAAGGGACGGCUAACUACGUG
Molecule: ribosomal RNA, 497 nt
Filed under: uncultured bacterium
Lineage: Bacteria
Description: partial 16S ribosomal RNA
Rfam family: Bacterial small subunit ribosomal RNA
Source: RNAcentral